CAAUACACAAACCCACCAAGAAACAGGGUAAAACAAAAUACAUACACACAAACAAGGUUUGACAAACUACCAAAAAUCCUCAAAAUAUAUAUUGCCAAUGCUAGUCAUUUUCAGCAUCUCUACAAACACAUCUUUAUCAAUAUAAAUACAAAUCCAACAUUAAGUUUAUAAAAUGUCUAACUCUCUGCUCCCCCCCUUCCGUCUGCUUUGGUCUCUUCCGGAACCUUUAAAAGGUACUCAGGCCCCCGGGGAAUCUUUUAGCCUGAACACCCUGCAGAGGAAGAGAGAGGACAUAAUCAGUUCCAGCUGAGAUGCCACCGAAACCACCAUUAAUAAACCAUUUCAAUCA
Cyprinodon tularosa is the source of this 349-nucleotide long non-coding RNA. RefSeq lists it as uncharacterized. NCBI's taxonomy places the organism in Eukaryota, Metazoa, Chordata, Actinopteri, Cyprinodontiformes, Cyprinodontidae. The transcript has 2 exons. The record is from RefSeq and is a predicted model, not a curated record.